AUGAACGCUAGCUACAGGCUUAACACAUGCAAGUCGAGGGGAAACGACAUCGAAAGCUUGCUUUGAUGGGCGUCGACCGGCGCACGGGUGAGUAACGCGUAUCCAACCUGCCCACCACUUGGGGAUAACCUUGCGAAAGUAAGACUAAUACCCAAUGAUAUCUCUAGAAGACAUCUGAGAGAGAUUAAAGAUUUAUCGGUGAUGGAUGGGGAUGCGUCUGAUUAGCUUGUUGGCGGGGUAACGGCCAACCAAGGCGACGAUCAGUAGGGGUUCUGAGAGGAAGGUCCCCCACAUUGGAACUGAGACACGGUCCAAACUCCUACGGGAGGCAGCAGUGAGGAAUAUUGGUCAAUGGACGAGAGUCUGAACCAGCCAAGUAGCGUGCAGGAUGACGGCCCUAUGGGUUGUAAACUGCUUUUAUAAGGGAAUAAAGUGAGCCUCGUGAGGCUUUUUGCAUGUACCUUAUGAAUAAGGACCGGCUAAUUCCGUG
RNAcentral lists this ribosomal RNA (490 nucleotides) under uncultured bacterium. RNAcentral's name for it is "bacterial SSU rRNA". It matches the Rfam family "Bacterial small subunit ribosomal RNA", at positions 29 to 507 of the family's 1533-position model. The record is from RNAcentral.